AGCGGCGGACUGGUGAGUAACGCGUGGGUAAUCUACCUUUGGCAUGGGGAUAGCCACUAGAAAUAGUGGGUAAUACCGAAUACGUUCCCUGGGGGGAGGUUUCAGGGAAGAAAGGGUGCUACGGCACCGGCCGGAGAUGAGCUCGCGUCCCAUUAGCUCGUUGGUGAGGUAACGGCCCACCAAGGCGAUGAUGGGUAGCCGGCCUGAGAGGGUGUACGGCCACACUGGGACUGAGAUACGGCCCAGACUCCUACGGGAGGCAGCAGCUAAGAAUAUUCCGCAAUGGACGAAAGUCUGACGGAGCGACGCCGCGUGGAUGAUGAAGGCCGAAAGGUUGUAAAGUCCUUUUGCUGGGGAAGAAUAAGUGUGGGAGGGAAUGCCCGCAUGAUGACAUGAACCGGCGAAUAAGCCCCGGCCAACUACGUGCCAGCAGCCGCGGUAACACGUAGGGGGCGAGCGUUGUUCGGAAUUACUGGGCGUAAAGGGCAUGUAGGCGGUCUGGUAAGCCUGGCGUGAAAGGCCACAGCUCAACUGUGGGAUUGCGUUGGGAACUGCUGGGCUUGAGUUAUGGAGAGGGAGCUAGAAUUCCUGGUGUAGGGGUGAAAUCUGUAGAUAUCAGGAAGAAUACCGAUGGCGAAGGCAAGCUCCUGGCCGAUGACUGACGCUGAGGUGCGAAAGUGUGGGGAUCAAACAGGAUUAGAUACCCUGGUAGUCCACACUGUAAACGAUGUGCACUAGGUGCUGGGGCGGUAGCUUCAGUGCCGGAGCGAACGUGGUAAGUGCACCGCCUGGGGAGUAUGCUCGCAAGGGUGAAACUCAAAGGAAUUGACGGGGCCCGCACAAGCGGUGGAGCAUGUGGUUUAAUUCGAUGGUACGCGAGGAACCUU
RNAcentral lists this ribosomal RNA (887 nucleotides) under uncultured bacterium. RNAcentral describes it as "bacterial SSU rRNA". It matches the Rfam family "Bacterial small subunit ribosomal RNA", at positions 94 to 972 of the family's 1533-position model. The record is from RNAcentral.